Molecule: long non-coding RNA, 329 nt
Filed under: Theobroma cacao (cacao)
Lineage: Eukaryota; Viridiplantae; Streptophyta; Magnoliopsida; Malvales; Malvaceae
Description: long non-coding RNA (TCAC_LNC004443)
Source: RNAcentral
CCAUGCUCCACGCCAUUCUUGAAGCUUCCAUGCCAUUUUCUCUUUAUCCACCAUGAAAUCAAGUUUUCUUCACUUUCCUUUCCAUGUUUUCUUUUCCUUUAUUCUCCAAACUUCUUGAGCAUUAAAUUUGUAGCCUUUAACCCCAAUUUUUAGUACACCAAAACCCUAAGAGAAGAAGAAAGAAAAAGAGAGAAAGGAAGAGAAAGCUUGGUUUUGGUGAUUCAAGCAAAGAACGGUAAUAAUUCUUGUUUUUGGCUUGAGUAGUCUUUGAAAACGAGUUAGUGACUUAGAGAAAUGUCUUGUGGCAGCAAAGAUUGGCUUGAUUGGAG